RNAcentral lists this long non-coding RNA (306 nucleotides) under Pan troglodytes (chimpanzee). Its description in RNAcentral is "long non-coding RNA NONPTRT005567". Lineage: Eukaryota; Metazoa; Chordata; Mammalia; Primates; Hominidae. The record is from RNAcentral.
CUGCGCGUCAGGCCUGAGACCUGGGAGGAAGCUGGAGAAAAGAUGCCCUCUGAAUCUUUCUGUUUGGCUGCCCAGGCUCGCCUCGACUCCAAAUGGUUGAAAACAGAUAUACAGAUGAUAGUGUCGAACCAAGUGGAACAAAGAAAGAAGAUCUGAAUGACAAAGAGAAAAAAGAUGAAGACGAAACUCCUGCACCUGUAUAUAGGGCCAAGUCAAUUCUGGAGACCUGGGUGUGGGUCAAGCAACCAGGUAAUCUUCUGAGUUUUGGCACUUUGGAAAGCUUGAUCUGAUGCUCCUUUUCUAAAU